AGUGAACGCUGGCGGUAGGCCUAACACAUGCAAGUCGAACGGCAGCACAGUAAGAGCUUGCUCUUACGGGUGGCGAGUGGCGGACGGGUGAGGAAUACAUCGGAAUCUACUUUUUCGUGGGGGAUAACGUAGGGAAACUUACGCUAAUACCGCACACGACCUACGGGUGAAAGCAGGGGAUCUUCGGACCUUGCGCGAUUGAAUGAGCCGAUGUCGGAUUAGCUAGUUGGCGGGGUAAAGGCCCACCAAGGCGACGAUCCGUAGCUGGUCUGAGAGGGUGAUCAGCCACACUGGAACUGAGACACGGUCCCGACUCCUACGGGAGGCAGCAGUGGGGAAUAUUGGACAAUGGGCGCAAGCCUGAUCCAGCCAUACCGCGUGGGUGAAGAAGGCCUUCGGGUUGUAAAGCCCUUUUGUUGGGAAAGAAAAGCAGCAGGUUAAUACCCCGCUGUUCUGACGGUACCCAAAGAAUAAGCACCGGCUAACUUCGUG
Molecule: ribosomal RNA, 492 nt
Filed under: uncultured bacterium
Lineage: Bacteria
Description: partial 16S ribosomal RNA
Rfam family: Bacterial small subunit ribosomal RNA
Source: RNAcentral